Molecule: long non-coding RNA, 306 nt
Organism: Pteropus alecto (black flying fox)
Lineage: Eukaryota; Metazoa; Chordata; Mammalia; Chiroptera; Pteropodidae
Exons: 2
Source: RefSeq, a predicted model, not a curated record
CAUGCCCAUCCUGCCCAUCAGAAGACAGCACAACCCAGAUGAGGCCACUGAAGGGCACUGGAUGCCCAGGGAUCACCACUUGGUACCAGAAGUGGUGCCAGCCAGCAGGACCUGUGCCUAAGCACUUGGAAUACUGGUUGAUGCAGGCUUUGUCUACCUCAUAACCAUAUAAUAGCUAACCUUUACUGUGAAUACUUGCUAUGAAUCAACGAAUGUGCUAAAUGCCUCCUAUAAUUCUCACAUUCUCAGUUGGACUGCCUUGGGCAAGUCCCCUUCUCUUAAAACAAUCUCAUCUCUAAAGAGGGA